Molecule: ribosomal RNA, 1580 nt
Filed under: Escherichia coli
Lineage: Bacteria; Pseudomonadati; Pseudomonadota; Gammaproteobacteria; Enterobacterales; Enterobacteriaceae
Description: partial 23S ribosomal RNA
Rfam family: Bacterial large subunit ribosomal RNA
Source: RNAcentral
CACACUAUCAUUAACUGAAUCCAUAGGUUAAUGAGGCGAACCGGGGGAACUGAAACAUCUAAGUACCCCGAGGAAAAGAAAUCAACCGAGAUUCCCCCAGUAGCGGCGAGCGAACGGGGAGCAGCCCAGAGCCUGAAUCAGUGUGUGUGUUAGUGGAAGCGUCUGGAAAGGCGCGCGAUACAGGGUGACAGCCCCGUACACAAAAAUGCACAUGCUGUGAGCUCGAUGAGUAGGGCGGGACACGUGGUAUCCUGUCUGAAUAUGGGGGGACCAUCCUCCAAGGCUAAAUACUCCUGACUGACCGAUAGUGAACCAGUACCGUGAGGGAAAGGCGAAAAGAACCCCGGCGAGGGGAGUGAAAAAGAACCUGAAACCGUGUACGUACAAGCAGUGGGAGCACGCUUAGGCGUGUGACUGCGUACCUUUUGUAUAAUGGGUCAGCGACUUAUAUUCUGUAGCAAGGUUAACCGAAUAGGGGAGCCGAAGGGAAACCGAGUCUUAACUGGGCGUUAAGUUGCAGGGUAUAGACCCGAAACCCGGUGAUCUAGCCAUGGGCAGGUUGAAGGUUGGGUAACACUAACUGGAGGACCGAACCGACUAAUGUUGAAAAAUUAGCGGAUGACUUGUGGCUGGGGGUGAAAGGCCAAUCAAACCGGGAGAUAGCUGGUUCUCCCCGAAAGCUAUUUAGGUAGCGCCUCGUGAAUUCAUCUCCGGGGGUAGAGCACUGUUUCGGCAAGGGGGUCAUCCCGACUUACCAACCCGAUGCAAACUGCGAAUACCGGAGAAUGUUAUCACGGGAGACACACGGCGGGUGCUAACGUCCGUCGUGAAGAGGGAAACAACCCAGACCGCCAGCUAAGGUCCCAAAGUCAUGGUUAAGUGGGAAACGAUGUGGGAAGGCCCAGACAGCCAGGAUGUUGGCUUAGAAGCAGCCAUCAUUUAAAGAAAGCGUAAUAGCUCACUGGUCGAGUCGGCCUGCGCGGAAGAUGUAACGGGGCUAAACCAUGCACCGAAGCUGCGGCAGCGACGCUUAUGCGUUGUUGGGUAGGGGAGCGUUCUGUAAGCCUGCGAAGGUGUGCUGUGAGGCAUGCUGGAGGUAUCAGAAGUGCGAAUGCUGACAUAAGUAACGAUAAAGCGGGUGAAAAGCCCGCUCGCCGGAAGACCAAGGGUUCCUGUCCAACGUUAAUCGGGGCAGGGUGAGUCGACCCCUAAGGCGAGGCCGAAAGGCGUAGUCGAUGGGAAACAGGUUAAUAUUCCUGUACUUGGUGUUACUGCGAAGGGGGGACGGAGAAGGCUAUGUUGGCCGGGCGACGGUUGUCCCGGUUUAAGCGUGUAGGCUGGUUUUCCAGGCAAAUCCGGAAAAUCAAGGCUGAGGCGUGAUGACGAGGCACUACGGUGCUGAAGCAACAAAUGCCCUGCUUCCAGGAAAAGCCUCUAAGCAUCAGGUAACAUCAAAUCGUACCCCAAACCGACACAGGUGGUCAGGUAGAGAAUACCAAGGCGCUUGAGAGAACUCGGGUGAAGGAACUAGGCAAAAUGGUGCCGUAACUUCGGGAGAAGGCACGCUGAUAUGUAGGUGA